AUUACCAUGCGAAAACCCCAAAUCUACCUACCCGACCCGGAACUAAUUAAAUCAUGGCUGUUGAUCUGAGAGAUCAACGACCCAUAUUAAUUUUUGCUUUUUCUACUCUAAACGACCCCUAACCCUAAAUCAUUCUCCCAAACCCGUCGCCUCUGUAUUCUCUCAUCUCCUCUCCUCUCCUAAAGCUCAAACCCUAGCCUUUCAACCACUGACCUCUCUUCUCCGAUCUUCUCCAGUGAUCUCUCAUCGACUCCUAGGCCUCUAAUGGCUUCUCUAAUGUCAUGCUUGCAUUCUCUAAGGUCUUCAAGGGCCCAGGGCCAUCCGACUUACAUUUAGGCUUCGUCACUUGUCUGUAUUUGGCUACUCCGGUGUGAUUUCGAG
This 381-nucleotide long non-coding RNA is filed under the name Nicotiana benthamiana. Its description in RNAcentral is "long non-coding RNA (NBEN_LNC035104)". The record is from RNAcentral. Lineage: Eukaryota; Viridiplantae; Streptophyta; Magnoliopsida; Solanales; Solanaceae.